GAUGAACGCCGGCGGCGUGCCUAAUACAUGCAAGUCGAGCGAACGGACGAGAAGCUUGCUUCUCUGAUGUUAGCGGCGGACGGGUGAGUAACACGUGGAUAACCUACCUAUAAGACUGGGAUAACUUCGGGAAACCGGAGCUAAUACCGGAUAAUAUUUUGAACCGCAUGGUUCAAAAGUGAAAGACGGUCUUGCUGUCACUUAUAGAUGGAUCCGCGCUGCAUUAGCUAGUUGGUAAGGUAACGGCUUACCAAGGCAACGAUGCAUAGCCGACCUGAGAGGGUGAUCGGCCACACUGGAACUGAGACACGGUCCAGACUCCUACGGGAGGCAGCAGUAGGGAAUCUUCCGCAAUGGGCGAAAGCCUGACGGAGCAACGCCGCGUGAGUGAUGAAGGUCUUCGGAUCGUAAAACUCUGUUAUUAGGGAAGAACAUAUGUGUAAGUAACUGUGCACAUCUUGACGGUACCUAAUCAGAAAGCCACGGCUAACUACGUGCCAGCAGCCGCGGUAAUACGUAGGUGGCAAGCGUUAUCCGGAAUUAUUGGGCGUAAAGCGCGCGUAGGCGGUUUCUUAAGUCUGAUGUGAAAGCCCACGGCUCAACCGUGGAGGGUCAUUGGAAACUGGAAAACUUGAGUGCAGAAGAGGAAAGUGGAAUUCCAUGUGUAGCGGUGAAAUGCGCAGAGAUAUGGAGGAACACCAGUGGCGAAGGCGACUUUCUGGUCUGUAACUGACGCUGAUGUGCGAAAGCGUGGGGAUCAAACAGGAUUAGAUACCCUGGUAGUCCACGCCGUAAACGAUGAGUGCUAAGUGUUAGGGGGUUUCCGCCCCUUAGUGCUGCAGCUAACGCAUUGAGCACUCCGCCUGGGGAGUACGACCGCAAGGUUGAAACUCAAAGGAAUUGACGGGGACCCGCACAAGCGGUGGAGCAUGUGGUUUAAUUCGAAGCAACGCGAAGAACCUUACCAAAUCUUGACAUCCUUUGACAACUCUAGAGAUAGAGCUUUCCCCUUCGGGGGACAAAGUGACAGGUGGCGCAUGGUUGUCGUCAGCUCGUGUCGUGAGAUGUUGGGUUAAGUCCCGCAACGAGCGCAACCCUUAAGCUUAGUUGCCAUCAUUAAGUUGGGCACUCUAAGUUGACUGCCGGUGACAAACCGGAGGAAGGUGGGGAUGACGUCAAAUCAUCAUGCCCCUUAUGAUUUGGGCUACACACGUGCUACAAUGGACAAUACAAAGGGCAGCGAAACCGCGAGGUCAAGCAAAUCCCAUAAAGUUGUUCUCAGUUCGGAUUGUAGUCUGCAACUCGACUACAUGAAGCUGGAAUCGCUAGUAAUCGUAGAUCAGCAUGCUACGGUGAAUACGUUCCCGGGUCU
RNAcentral lists this ribosomal RNA (1372 nucleotides) under uncultured bacterium. RNAcentral's name for it is "bacterial SSU rRNA". It matches the Rfam family "Bacterial small subunit ribosomal RNA", at positions 28 to 1381 of the family's 1533-position model. The record is from RNAcentral.